AUUGAACGCUGGCGGAAUGCUUUACACAUGCAAGUCGAACGGCAGCACGGGAGCUUGCUCCUGGUGGUGAGUGGCGAACGGGUGAGUAAUGCAUCGGAACGUACCUAUUAGUGGGGGAUAACUAUCCGAAAGGAUAGCUAAUACCGCAUACGUCCUGAGGGAGAAAGCGGGGGAUCGCAAGACCUCGCGCUAAUAGAGCGGCCGAUGUUGGAUUAGCUAGUUGGUGGGGUAAAGGCCUAACAAGGCGACGAUCCAUAGCUGGUCUGAGAGGGUGACCAGCCACACUGGGACUGAGACACGGCCCAGACUCCUACGGGAGGCAGCAGUGGGGAAUUUUGGACAAUGGGGGCAACCCUGAUCCAGCCAUUCCGCGUGAGUGAAGAAGGCCUUCGGGUUGUAAAGCUCUUUCGGCAGGAACGAAACGGUGGUUACUAAUACUAGCUACUAAUGACGGUACCUGAAGAAGAAGCACCGGCUAACUACGUGCCAGCCGCCGCCGUAA
Molecule: ribosomal RNA, 502 nt
Filed under: uncultured bacterium
Lineage: Bacteria
Description: partial 16S ribosomal RNA
Rfam family: Bacterial small subunit ribosomal RNA
Source: RNAcentral